UUUUGGGGUGCGACAGUGGAAAAAUACCAACCACGCAUGAAUCAAGCAUGAGAUUUUAUCUUCGACGCUGAUGAUCGUUUGGCUAGUUCAACAUCUUUUGUAAUUUCCUUGAUUGUUGAAUACUCUUUUGCUUUUAAAUAUUUUUGUUCAAUGAAUGGUAUGGUUAAUAAAUUGUUCUUGCAUCUUUUUUAGUUAAUCCUUUCGCGCUUACUUUUUUU
Molecule: long non-coding RNA, 218 nt
Filed under: Lathyrus oleraceus (garden pea)
Lineage: Eukaryota; Viridiplantae; Streptophyta; Magnoliopsida; Fabales; Fabaceae
Description: Pisum sativum (pea) long non-coding RNA (PSAT_LNC017935)
Source: RNAcentral